RNAcentral lists this ribosomal RNA (230 nucleotides) under uncultured bacterium. Its description in RNAcentral is "partial 16S ribosomal RNA". It matches the Rfam family "Bacterial small subunit ribosomal RNA", at positions 524 to 753 of the family's 1533-position model. The record is from RNAcentral.
UACGUAGGGUGCAAGCGUUAAUCGGAAUUACUGGGCGUAAAGCGUGCGCAGGCGGUUUUGUAAGUCUGUCGUGAAAUCCCCGGGCUCAACCUGGGAAUUGCGAUGGAGACUGCAAGGCUAGAAUCUGGCAGAGGGGGAUAGAAUUCCACGUGUAGCAGUGAAAUGCGUAGAGAUGUGGAGGAAUACCGAUGGCGAAGGCAGCCCCCUGGGAUAACACUGACGCUCAUGCA